This 874-nucleotide ribosomal RNA is filed under the name uncultured Nitrosospira sp. RNAcentral describes it as "bacterial SSU rRNA". It matches the Rfam family "Bacterial small subunit ribosomal RNA", at positions 9 to 873 of the family's 1533-position model. The record is from RNAcentral. Lineage: Bacteria; Pseudomonadati; Pseudomonadota; Betaproteobacteria; Nitrosomonadales; Nitrosomonadaceae.
AGAGUUUGAUCAUGGCUCAAAUUGAACGCUGGCGGCAUGCUUUACACAUGCAAGUCGAACGGCAGCACGGGGGCAACCCUGGUGGCGAGUGGCGAACGGGUGAGUAAUGCAUCGGAACGUGUCUUCGAGUGGGGGAUAACGCACCGAAAGGUGUGCUAAUACCGCAUAAUCUCUACGGAGAAAAGCAGGGGAUCGCAAGACCUUGCGCUCUUUGAGCGACCGAUGUCUGAUUAGCUAGUUGGUGAGGUAAAGGCUUACCAAGGCGACGAUCAGUAGCUGGUCUGAGAGGACGACCAGCCACACUGGGACUGAGACACGGCCCAGACUCCUACGGGAGGCAGCAGUGGGGAAUUUUGGACAAUGGGGGAAACCCUGAUCCAGCCAUGCCGCGUGAGUGAAGAAGGCCUUCGGGUUGUAAAGCUCUUUCAGCCGGAACGAAACGGUCACGGCUAAUACCUGGGACUACUGACGGUACCGGAAGAAGAAGCACCGGCUAACUACGUGCCAGCAGCCGCGGUAAUACGUAGGGUGCAAGCGUUAAUCGGAAUUACUGGGCGUAAAGCGUGCGUAGGCGGUUCCUCAAGUCCGUUGUGAAAGCCCCGGGCUCAACCUGGGAAUGGCAGUGGAAACUAGGGGACUGGAAUCUGGCAGAGGGGGGUGGAAUGCCGCGUGUAGCAGUGAAAUGCGUAGAGAUGCGGCGGAACACCGAUGGCGAAGGCAGCCCCCUGGGCUGAGAUUGACGCUCAGGCACGAAAGCGUGGGGAGCAAACAGGAUUAGAUACCCUGGUAGUCCACGCCCUAAACGAUGGCAACUAGGUGUUGGGGAAGCGAUUUCCUGGUACCGCAGCUAACGCGUGAAGUUGACCAAUCACUA